GCGGGGGUGGCCGAGUCAGGUCAAAGGCGCGGGACUGAGGGUCCCGUGGCGAAGGCCUGCGUGGGUUCAAAUCCCACCCCCCGCA
RNAcentral lists this transfer RNA (85 nucleotides) under Thermoprotei archaeon. RNAcentral's name for it is "tRNA-Leu". It matches the Rfam family "tRNA". Rfam says of the family: Transfer RNA (tRNA) molecules are approximately 80 nucleotides in length. Their secondary structure includes four short double-helical elements and three loops (D, anti-codon, and T loops). Lineage: Archaea; Thermoproteati; Thermoproteota; Thermoprotei. The record is from RNAcentral.